Molecule: unclassified non-coding RNA, 247 nt
Filed under: plant metagenome
Description: partial contains small subunit ribosomal RNA and internal transcribed spacer 1
Rfam family: Eukaryotic small subunit ribosomal RNA (bases 1-47)
Source: RNAcentral
AAAGUCGUAACAAGGUUUCCGUAGGUGAACCUGCGGAAGGAUCAUUAACGAGUUUUUUGAAACGGGUUGUUGCUGGCUUCCAAAAAGGAGCAUGUGCACGCCUGACUCAAUCCACUCUCAAACCCCUGUGCACUUAUUGUAGGCUCGGUGAUUGAAGAGCUCGCAAGGGUUCUGAUAGAGCCCUGUCUAUGUUUUUACAAACGCUUCAGUUUAUGAAUGUUACUCGCGUAUAACGCAAUAAAUACAA